This 350-nucleotide ribosomal RNA is filed under the name uncultured bacterium. RNAcentral describes it as "bacterial SSU rRNA". It matches the Rfam family "Bacterial small subunit ribosomal RNA", at positions 8 to 350 of the family's 1533-position model. The record is from RNAcentral.
CAGAGUUGAUCCUGGCUCAGGAUGAACGCUAGCUACAGGCUUAACACAUGCAAGUCGAGGGGCAGCGGGAUUGAAGCUUGCUUCAAUUGCCGGCGACCGGCGCACGGGUGAGUAACGCGUAUCCAACCUUCCGUACACUCAGGGAUAGCCUUUCGAAAGAAAGAUUAAUGCCUGAUGGUAUGAUGAAAUUGCAUGAUAGCAUCAUUAAAGAUUUAUCGGUGUACGAUGGGGAUGCGUUCCAUUAGGUAGUAGGCGGGGUAACGGCCACCUAGCCUACGAUGGAUAGGGGUUCUGAGAGGAAGGUCCCCCANAUUGGAACUGAGACACGGUCCAAACUCCUACGGGAGGCA